ACCCUUAGUAUGUGUAAAAGUUUUGCUAUCUUGUCAAAAGCACCUGGUGUUGAGCUACUUGUUUCCUUAUUCUGUUUCCAGCAGAAACCAUUCCUUUUUCCCCAAAGGAGCCAGAAAGAUCCAGGCUCAGAGAAGAGAAAUGGUGUGGAGUUCAUGCUUCAAGGACAUAUGCGUUCACAACUGUGGCCAGAAAAUGUCAGGCUUGGCCUCCAUAGUUUUUAUUACACUGUACUCUGUAUUGAUGACUUUUCUUUCCAGUUUUUUUUUUUUAAGGAACUAAUGUAGUUCACAUUGCUACCACGCUACUUUAGCAUCUGCAGAUAGUUGGUGUAAUUGCACAUGUUCUGUGCUAGCUCAAAUAAAUCACAGCAACCCUUUCUGUCUUUGCUUUUUACUCAUAUGCUUAUUACCGCUGGUGUUAGACUUGUGCAGUUCUCUUUUUACGUUUUGCACACAUUGGGCCUCGUUCAUAAAACAGGAGCAGAAUGCGUUUCUGUGUAUAUCGUCCAUAAAACGUUUCUAUUAUGCCACACUGAGUGAAGCAGUUUGCCUCAAGCUUGGUUUUAUGAACGUUAUAUAUGUUAUAAAGUUCAUUACGUUGGUGUUUUAUGAAUGAGGCAUACCGCACUGUAUUUGCAUGUGCAUCAAAUACGAAUGUAAGUAACAUUACUAGUAUUUAUUAUAAGUAUUAAACUAAUAUGUUGUACCUGCUUACAGUAAACUCUUGAAAUGACAUUAAACUUGUUUUAUCUGUAUUUGCAUUA
This is a long non-coding RNA of Puntigrus tetrazona (Sumatra barb), 764 nucleotides long. RefSeq lists it as uncharacterized. The record is from RefSeq and is a predicted model, not a curated record. NCBI's taxonomy places the organism in Eukaryota, Metazoa, Chordata, Actinopteri, Cypriniformes, Cyprinidae. The transcript has 2 exons.